Molecule: ribosomal RNA, 253 nt
Filed under: uncultured bacterium
Lineage: Bacteria
Description: partial 16S ribosomal RNA
Rfam family: Bacterial small subunit ribosomal RNA
Source: RNAcentral
UACGAAGGGGGCUAGCGUUGCUCGGAAUCACUGGGCGUAAAGCGCACGUAGGCGGCUCUUUAAGUCAGGGGUGAAAUCCCGGAGCUCAACUCCGGAACUGCCUUUGAUACUGAGGAUCUCGAGUCCGGGAGAGGUGAGUGGAACUGCGAGUGUAGAGGUGAAAUUCGUAGAUAUUCGCAAGAACACCAGUGGCGAAGGCGGCUCACUGGCCCGGUACUGACGCUGAGGUGCGAAAGCGUGGGGAGCAAACAGG